Molecule: transfer RNA, 78 nt
Filed under: Kitasatospora phosalacinea
Lineage: Bacteria; Bacillati; Actinomycetota; Actinomycetes; Kitasatosporales; Streptomycetaceae
Description: tRNA-Ser
Source: RNAcentral
GCGGGCUGGCUGAUCGGCGUGGCCGGGCCGCCGCUGCUGGCCCUGCUGCUGACCGGGUUCAGCGGCCCGGGGCUCUCC